GACGAACGCUGGCGGCGUGCUUAACACAUGCAAGUCGAACGGAAAGGCCCUGCUUUUGUGGGGUGCUCGAGUGGCGAACGGGUGAGUAACACGUGAGUAACCUGCCCUUGACUUUGGGAUAACUUCAGGAAACUGGGGCUAAUACAGGAUAGGAGCUCCUGCUGCAUGGUGGGGGUUGGAAAGUUUCGGCGGUUGGGGAUGGACUCGCGGCUUAUCAGCUUGUUGGUGGGGUAGUGGCUUACCAAGGCUUUGACGGGUAGCCGGCCUGAGAGGGUGACCGGCCACAUUGGUACUAAGAGACGGCCCAGACUCCUACGGGAGGCAGCAGGGGGGAAUAUUGCACAAUGGGCGGAAGCCUGAUGCAGAAGCGCCGCGAGCGUGAUGACGGCCUUCGGGGUGUAAACCGCUGUCGCCUGUGACGAAGCGUGAGUGACGGUAAUGGGUAAAGAAGCACCGGCUAACUACGUG
Molecule: ribosomal RNA, 468 nt
Filed under: uncultured bacterium
Lineage: Bacteria
Description: partial 16S ribosomal RNA
Rfam family: Bacterial small subunit ribosomal RNA
Source: RNAcentral